UAAUUUCAAAUUUAAAUUUGAAGAAUGUGAUAACACUCCUUAUGAGAACAACUUCAAAAUUUCAACUGACAAAACUGUUUGACAUUUUUCUAUGAUUACAAACAUCGCUUGUGUCAUCUCCUACAAUCAUCAACAACAAUUAUGUAUUUGCAAAUUAUUACACGUUUACCACGCUAUUUAAUUCAAUCAUAAAUAUUGCACGAGUUUCCCAAAGUUACAAAUUUACGUGGUCCGCAGGCUCUGGGGAAUUGUGCAGCACACCUCAAUGGAAAUAAAACACACAACAAAGCUGGAGCAAAAGGUGGAUUUCACAAUAUUUUUCCAGACAGUCAAUGGAAAAUGGGGCCGCAUUUCUUGAAGACAAAUUUUAGUUUCUAGUCAUAACUCCAUAUUCAUGUUAAUUGACAAAAGUGCAGCAGACAACAAAAAAUUCAAUUUAAAAGCAAAUAAUGUAAAUCAAUUCCAGUGAAUUGUGCAUAAAAAGUAUGAAAAGAAGAAGAGCUUGCGACUAAUACCUGUGUGUAUGUCAUUGUAGUAAAAUACAUUGCCGUUCAAGGUCAAAUAAUGCAGAGGGAAUUUAGCAAAGACACAAACCGAAUAUUACAUGACAUUGAAUAAGUGAAGAUUGUCGAACAACAACAACUACUACUACACUUCUGCGCGCCUGGUAAAAUGGCAGCUUAGUGAACACGUGAAAUUGAUUCUGUGAAACCGUUAGGAAAAUUAGAGGAGGUAGCUGCAUAAAAAGUGCUACAAGUACAAAACUAAAAAAUACAAAGUUUGUGAAAAAUAGUUUUAUAUUUAAUGUUUGUAUUCAAAGUGAAAUGAAGAUUACGCAGCUGUUAGUAAUAAUUUAAUAAGUACGGGAGAAGUGAAAAAAUUGUUACUUUCGUUAUAGUUGUGAGAAAUGCAUUCAUUAGUGGGCAAUCCAAGAAUAAUCAAUGUAUUAAAUUCAAUGAAAUUAAAACCAUUACAACAACGCCGCAAUAUAAUAUUUUGUUUACUUUGUUCACAUAAAUUGCUCCGUGGCAAAACAAAAAUAACAACGUAUGCACACCAAAAACAAACAUAUCAUGGACAGGAAUCAUUCAAUGUGUUUUGUGCUAUAUAAAAUUGGGCUGGGCGCCCUACUACUCUGCCUUGCUGUUUGUCUGGUAGAAUUAAGAUAUAUAUGUGUAUAGUUAACUUUACCUUUUUACUAAUUUAUUUAUUGUAUUUGCAGAAUACAUGCAUACUUAGCAAGGCUACGACGCAUCGGCUGAAUGUGUCUGUCCAUUAAUAUCGAAAAAGAAUUUGUUUUAAAAUAUUAAAAUUUAAUCAUAUAUUUUAGUUUUUUAUUUAAAAAGUAUUAUAUUUUUCCUAAUUUUUAUACAAAAUUUAAA
Zeugodacus cucurbitae (melon fly) is the source of this 1382-nucleotide long non-coding RNA. RefSeq lists it as uncharacterized. The record is from RefSeq and is a predicted model, not a curated record. The transcript has 3 exons. NCBI's taxonomy places the organism in Eukaryota, Metazoa, Arthropoda, Insecta, Diptera, Tephritidae.